ACAGUAAUUCCUCCGUCCAACAAAAAAUGUCUUAAUUUUGAUCAAAUUUGAAUACAUCUACAUACUAAGUCAUGUCUAGAUAGAUUCAAAAUUUGACAAACUUGAGACAUCUUUUGUUGGACGGAGGGAGUAGUAU
Brachypodium distachyon (stiff brome) is the source of this 136-nucleotide non-coding RNA. The record is from Rfam. NCBI's taxonomy places the organism in Eukaryota, Viridiplantae, Streptophyta, Magnoliopsida, Poales, Poaceae.